Long non-coding RNA from Anguilla anguilla (European eel), 338 nucleotides. RefSeq lists it as uncharacterized. The record is from RefSeq and is a predicted model, not a curated record. NCBI's taxonomy places the organism in Eukaryota, Metazoa, Chordata, Actinopteri, Anguilliformes, Anguillidae. The transcript has 3 exons.
CACCGCCACGGCGUACACAGCCGGCGGGAUGGUGGCCAGGAGCUCCGGGCCCAGCAUGACCCCCGUCAUUAUGAAGAGCAUCACCAGGCUAUCAACAUUACAGAAUUCUGAACGACCCCAAAGGCUUUGAUUCACCGUAACUGAGUUUCAGAACCAGCACUACAGUCACAUCCCUGCAGAACCAGCACUACAGUCACAUCCCUGCAGAACCAGCACUACAGUCACAUCCCUGCAGAACCAGCACUACAGUCACAUCCCUGCAGAACCAGCACUACAGUCACAUCCCUGCAGAACCAGCACUACAGUCACAUCCCUGCAGAACCAGCACUGCAGUCACA